This 207-nucleotide long non-coding RNA is filed under the name Fukomys damarensis (Damara mole-rat). RNAcentral's name for it is "lncRNA (ENSFDAG00000022111.1)". The record is from RNAcentral. Lineage: Eukaryota; Metazoa; Chordata; Mammalia; Rodentia; Bathyergidae.
GCAGCGUUUCUAUUUGGUGAGGUGAGUUUAUUUGUGUCAUUUGAAGAAUAUCUGCCUUGCCCUGGACUGACAGAAGCUAAGACUGGACUCUGCUCUACACCCAGAGUGGGCAGGCAGAACUGACUGGGAGGACCUAUUUCAGGUUCAGACCUGAGGGAAAGUAUUCAAAGUCCAGCAAACUCGAGAACUCCCUCAUGCACUUCCCCU